Molecule: ribosomal RNA, 523 nt
Filed under: uncultured bacterium
Lineage: Bacteria
Description: bacterial SSU rRNA
Rfam family: Bacterial small subunit ribosomal RNA
Source: RNAcentral
AGAGUUUGAUCAUGGCUCAGAUUGAACGCUGGCGGCAUGCCUUACACAUGCAAGUCGAACGGCAGCACGGGGGCAACCCUGGUGGCGAGUGGCGGACGGGUGAGGAAUACAUCGGGAUCUACCUAGUUGUGGGGGAUAACGUAGGGAAACUUACGCUAAUACCGCAUGAGCCCUACGGGGGAAAGCGGCGGACCGCAAGGCGUCGCGCGAUUAGAUGAACCGAUGUCCGAUUAGCUAGUUGGCGGGGUAAAGGCCCACCAAGGCGACGAUCGGUAGCUGAUCUGAGAGGAUGAUCAGCCACACUGGAACUGAGACACGGUCCAGACUCCUACGGGAGGCAGCAGUGGGGAAUAUUGGACAAUGGGCGCAAGCCUGAUCCAGCCAUGCCGCGUGGGUGAAGAAGGCCUUCGGGUUGUAAAGCCCUUUUGUCCGGAAAGAAAAGCACGGGAUUAAUACUUUCGUGUGAUGACGGUACCGGAAGAAUAAGCACCGGCUAACUUCGUGCCAGCAGCCGCGGUAAUAC